CAUCCUACGGGGGGCAGCAGUGAGGAAUAUUGGUCAAUGGUCGGGGGACUGAACCAGCCAAGCCGCGUGAGGGAGGAAGGUACAGAGUAUCGUAAACCUCUUUUGUCAGGGAACAAAGGCGGGGACGUGUCCCCGGAUGAGUGUACCUGAAGAAAAGGCAUCGGCUAACUCCGUGCCAGCAGCCGCGGGAAUACGGAGGAUGCGAGCGUUAUCCGGAUUUAUUGGGUUUAAAGGGUGCGCAGGCGGUCUGUUAAGUCAGCGGUCAAAGCCCGGGGCUCAACCCCGGCCCGCCGUUGCAACAGGGG
Molecule: ribosomal RNA, 305 nt
Filed under: uncultured bacterium
Lineage: Bacteria
Description: bacterial SSU rRNA
Rfam family: Bacterial small subunit ribosomal RNA
Source: RNAcentral